CGGUGGAGCAUGUGGUUUAAUUCGAUGCAACGCGAGAACCUUACCUGGCUUGACAUCCCAGGAAUCCUGCAGAGAUGCGGGAGUGCCUUCGGGAACCUGGAGACAGGUGCUGCAUGGCUGUCGUCAGCUCGUGUCGUGAGAUGUUGGGUUAAGUCCCGCAACGAGCGCAACCCUUGUCCUAUGUUGCCAGCGGUUCGCCGGGGACUCAUAGGAGACUGCCGGGGAUAACUCGGAGGAAGGUGAGGACGACGUCAAGUCAUCAUGCCCCUUAUGUCCAGGGCUGCACGCAUGCUACAAUGGUCGGUACAACGGGCUGCGAUCCCGCGAGGGUGAGCGAAUCCCUAAAAACCGGCCUCAGUUCGGAUUGGAGUCUGCAACUCGACUCCAUGAAGUCGGAGUCGCUAGUAAUCGCGGAUCAGCUAAGCCGCGGUGAAUGCGUUCUCGGGGAUU
RNAcentral lists this ribosomal RNA (450 nucleotides) under uncultured Acidimicrobiales bacterium. RNAcentral describes it as "bacterial SSU rRNA". It matches the Rfam family "Bacterial small subunit ribosomal RNA", at positions 930 to 1378 of the family's 1533-position model. Lineage: Bacteria; Bacillati; Actinomycetota; Acidimicrobiia; Acidimicrobiales. The record is from RNAcentral.